GGAUGUUUUCCAGAACCCGGAAGCUGCAAAAUUGGGUUUCAAAGAGAAAUAUGGAGUUUACUCCCGACUUGCGAGCCCGGGAUAAUGUUCCUGAAAAACAUUACUGUCAGAUUGAUGCCAGAAAAACAGUUGGAAAUGACCGAAUCCCACCCAAUAUGAAUAUAUUCAAAGAUAAGGCGGUGUGCAGAAGCCAAAAGUCGAGGAUUUGUUAUUUGACUUUAAUCAUAUCCUAUGGCCGAUUUGUAGUGCAUUUGCAGACUUUGAACACAUCAAUCAAUCAAUUAAUGAGUUUGGAACGUUCAAAUAGAACGAUACCAUAUUUAAAUUAUGUUGCGGCCACAUAUAUCGAUCAAAGCAGCUAGUCCUAAUGGUUAAUAAUAUAAAACACUACGAAACAGAGAAAUAAAUUUUGAGCGUAAAACUCGAUGCGAUAGAUGAAAAUCAAAGGCAGAUGAAACUCGGUUGAAAGCUCGCUGAAUACUAGUGAUGGCACCGUUAGCACUGUAGUUAGUGCGGCGGAAAGGUAGUUGCAGAGUAGAUGACCUCCGCAGGUUUCUAGAUGGCGCGUUUAGGUUGAUCAAGCGGAGAAUGGCUGGGCAAUCGAUCCGGGAUGUCAAAACGUCCGACACUACCAUGGCGCGUGCUGUUUCUCGACAAAGCUGGAGAGUAUCGAGCUGGAGAAGCUGGCAGCGGUCCUCAUAUCGGGUAUUGCGCAUGGGCUGUCGCCAGGGGAGCAUUCUAAGUGCGUAACGCACAAACCGGCGCUGGAUGCUUUCGAUGCGAUGAAUUGCGUUGUUGUAGUGAGGAAUCCAGACAGUAGAGC
Wyeomyia smithii (pitcher-plant mosquito) is the source of this 823-nucleotide long non-coding RNA. RefSeq lists it as uncharacterized. The record is from RefSeq and is a predicted model, not a curated record. Lineage: Eukaryota; Metazoa; Arthropoda; Insecta; Diptera; Culicidae. The transcript has 3 exons.